CGCCAGCAGCCGCGGUAAUACGGAGGGUGCAAACGUUGCUCGGAAUCAUUGGGCGUAAAGCGCACGUAGGCGGCGGCAUAAGCGGGAUGUGAAAGCCCAGGGCUCAACCCUGGAAGUGCAUCCCGAACUGUGUCGCUUGAAUCUCGGAGGGGGACAGAGAAUUCCCGGUGUAGAGGUGAAAUUCGUAGAUAUCGGGAGGAAUACCAGUGGCGAAGGCGCUGUCCUGGACGAAGAUUGACGCUGAGGUGCGAAAGCGCGGGGAGCAAACAGGAUUAGAUACCCUGGUAGUCCGCGCUGUAAACGAUGAGUGCUGGACGGUGGAGGAUUUGACCCCUUCGCUGUCGAAGCUAACGCGUUAAGCACUCCGCCUGGGGAGUACGGUCGCAAGACUAAAACUCAAAGGAAUUGACGGGGGCCCGCACAAGC
RNAcentral lists this ribosomal RNA (426 nucleotides) under uncultured bacterium. RNAcentral describes it as "bacterial SSU rRNA". It matches the Rfam family "Bacterial small subunit ribosomal RNA", at positions 506 to 930 of the family's 1533-position model. The record is from RNAcentral.